UGACUGAACCCUCUGGAGACCAUGAAUGGAGUGAGAGAUCCACUUCAUUCUUACAACAGACAGCAAGUGACCUGACUGAACCCUCUGGAAACCAAGAAUGGAGUGAGAGAUCCACUUCAUCCUUACAACAGACAUCAAGUGACAGGUACCUGACUGAACCCUCUGGAAACCAAGAAUGGAGUGAGAGAUCCACUUCAUCCUUACAACAGACACCAAAUGACCUGACUGAACCCUCUGGAGACCAUGAAUGGAGUGAGAGAUCCACUUCAUUCUUACAACAGACACCAAGUGACCUGACUGAACCCUCUGGAAACCAAGAAUGGAGUGAGAGAUCCACUUCAUCCUUACAACAGACAUCAAGUGACAGGUACCUGACUGAACCCUCUGGAAACCAAGAAUGGAGUGAGAGAUCCACUUCAUCCUUACAACAG
Molecule: long non-coding RNA, 431 nt
Organism: Hippocampus zosterae (dwarf seahorse)
Lineage: Eukaryota; Metazoa; Chordata; Actinopteri; Syngnathiformes; Syngnathidae
Exons: 6
Source: RefSeq, a predicted model, not a curated record